RNAcentral lists this transfer RNA (71 nucleotides) under Phycisphaerales bacterium. RNAcentral describes it as "tRNA-Gln". It matches the Rfam family "tRNA". Rfam says of the family: Transfer RNA (tRNA) molecules are approximately 80 nucleotides in length. Their secondary structure includes four short double-helical elements and three loops (D, anti-codon, and T loops). Further hydrogen bonds mediate the characteristic L-shaped molecular structure. tRNAs have two regions of fundamental functional importance: the anti-codon, which is responsible for specific mRNA codon recognition, and the 3' end, to which the tRNAs corresponding amino acid is attached (by aminoacyl-tRNA synthetases). tRNAs cope with the degeneracy of the genetic code in two manners: having more than one tRNA (with a specific anti-codon) for a particular amino acid; and 'wobble' base-pairing, i.e. permitting non-standard base-pairing at the 3rd anti-codon position. The record is from RNAcentral. Lineage: Bacteria; Pseudomonadati; Planctomycetota; Phycisphaerae; Phycisphaerales.
UGGCCCGUGGUGUAAAGGUAGCACAGGGGUUUUUGGUACCUCUAGUCUAGGUUCGAAUCCUAGCGGGCCAG